Molecule: long non-coding RNA, 717 nt
Organism: Carya illinoinensis
Lineage: Eukaryota; Viridiplantae; Streptophyta; Magnoliopsida; Fagales; Juglandaceae
Exons: 4
Source: RefSeq, a predicted model, not a curated record
GAGCAACUCAUCCGCUUAGAGCUUAUAUCCAUUGCAAACCCUAGACCCCAUUCAUCUCUCUCUCUCUCUCUCUCUCUCUCUCUCUCUCUCUCGAUCAUGCCUCCGAGCAACCAAGUAUUGUGUGUUAAGUGUCGACUUCUCUAGCCCACCACACAACCGUUCCUUCACAAUUCACCAUAGCAGUCCACCUCCAUCCAUCAUCCACAAACACACCUCCUCCUUUGAUGGGCAAGAAGCGACACAUGGACUGGACCUCAAAGUCACUUGUUUCAUCUGGUGGCGAGAGAGUCUCUUUUUUGAAUAAGGAGGUGGUUUGAUAUAACUCAAAUUCCUGAUGUCUAUAAUUCGUGCAAAGUAUUGUGAAAAGUAUGCAAGAUGUGGUAGCUGCCAAGCCCAGGAGGAUAAUUGUUAUUUUUUGAAUUGAUGUAAUCAUGUAAAUACUUUAUGCACCCACUUAUAGUUUUUAAUUUUUUUUUAUAUUUUAUUUUCUAAGUAAUUUAUGCUACAGCCUAUGUUAUAGUGUUAUUUCAAUUUCAUAUUUAAGAGCUAUGUUUUUAUUUAGAGCUUUUGAUGUAAAUUACUAAUAUGAAUCCUAGUCUCCUACUCUUCUAGUUCUAAUCUUUUACUAUUAUUUUUUUGAAGACCUUUCCAUUUUCAAUUUCUGAAACUUUUAUAAUUUUUAAUUUUCAUUAUCUAUGCUUGUGAAUUGUUUUUUUC